ACGAACGCUGGCGGCGUGCUUAACACCUGCAAGUCGAACGGAAAGGCCCUGCUUUUGUGGGGUGCUCGAGUGGCGAACGGGUGAGUAACACGUGAGUAACCUGCCCUUAACUUUGGGAUAACUUCAGGAAACUGGGGCUAAUACCGGAUAGGAGCUCCUGCUUCAUGGUGGGGGUUGGAAAGUUUCGGCGGUUGGGGAUGGACUCGCGGCUUAUCAGCUUGUUGGUGGGGUAGUGGCUUACCAAGGCUUUGACGGGUAGCCGGCCUGAGAGGGUGACCGGCCACAUUGGGACUGAGAUACGGCCCAGACUCCUACGGGAGGCAGCAGUGGGGAAUAUUGAACAAUGGGCGGAAGCCUGAUGCAGCAACGCCGCGUGCGGGAUGACGGCCUUCGGGUUGUAAACCGCUUUCGCCUGUGACGAAGCGUGAGUGACGGUAAUGGGUAAAGAAGCACCGGCUAACUACGUG
Molecule: ribosomal RNA, 467 nt
Filed under: uncultured bacterium
Lineage: Bacteria
Description: partial 16S ribosomal RNA
Rfam family: Bacterial small subunit ribosomal RNA
Source: RNAcentral